Long non-coding RNA from Octodon degus (degu), 107 nucleotides. RefSeq lists it as uncharacterized. The transcript has 3 exons. The record is from RefSeq and is a predicted model, not a curated record. NCBI's taxonomy places the organism in Eukaryota, Metazoa, Chordata, Mammalia, Rodentia, Octodontidae.
ACCAUGGGUAGGGCUUGGCCAAGGCUUUGGCCAUAGUACUGGCCACACAUAUGAAAAGGGGGCUUGGUGUGUCUGGGCCACAGAAGCCUUGUGUUCUAGAUGGAAGA